Molecule: ribosomal RNA, 228 nt
Filed under: uncultured bacterium
Lineage: Bacteria
Description: partial 16S ribosomal RNA
Rfam family: Bacterial small subunit ribosomal RNA
Source: RNAcentral
CGGGUGAGGAAUACAUCGGAAUCUGCCUUGUUGUGGGGGAUAACGUAGGGAAACUUACGCUAAUACCGCAUAAGACCUCAGGGUGAAAGCGGAGGACCUUCGGGCUUCGCGCGACAAGAUGAGCCGAUGUCGGAUUAGCUAGUUGGCGGGGUAACGGCCCACCAAGGCGACGAUCCGUAGCUGGUCUGAGAGGAUGAUCAGCCACACUGGAACUGAGACACGGUCCAG